AACCUUCCACAAUGGGCGAAAGCCUGAUGGAGCAACGCCGCGUGAGUGAAGAAGGUUUUCGCAUCGUAAAACUCUGUUGUAAGGGAAGAACAAGUACAGUAGUAACUGGCUGUACCUUGCCGGUCCCUUAUUAGAAGGCCACGGCUAAAUACGUUCCAGCAGCCGCGGUAAUACGUAGGUGGCAAGCGUUGUCCGGAAUUAUUGGGCGUAAAGCGCGCGCAGGCGGUCCUUUAAGUCUGAUGUAAAAGCCCACGGCUCAACCGUGGAGGGUCAUUGGAAACUGGGGGACUUGAGUGCAGAAGAGGAAAGUGGAAUUCCAAGUGUAGCGGUGAAAUGCGUAGAGAUUUGGAGGAACACCAGUGGCGAAGGCGACUUUCUGGUCUGUAACUGACGCUGAGGCGCGAAAGCGUGGGGAGCAAACA
Molecule: ribosomal RNA, 422 nt
Filed under: uncultured bacterium
Lineage: Bacteria
Description: partial 16S ribosomal RNA
Rfam family: Bacterial small subunit ribosomal RNA
Source: RNAcentral